RNAcentral lists this ribosomal RNA (95 nucleotides) under uncultured bacterium. RNAcentral's name for it is "partial 16S ribosomal RNA". It matches the Rfam family "Archaeal small subunit ribosomal RNA", at positions 1333 to 1429 of the family's 1478-position model. The record is from RNAcentral.
CUCCUUGCACACACCGCCCGUCAAACCACCCGAGUAGGGUCUGAAUGAGGGCGUAUCUCAUGAUAUGUUCGAAUUUGGGCUCUGCAAGGGGGGUU